UUUGACUUGAGAUUGUCAUAGUUCCCAACAUAAGGACUAUUAUGUUUUGACAUAAUCAAACGUUGUCUUUAAUCGGACAAUCAUAAAGGUUAUGAUUGAGCAUAAUAGAAAUUAUGUAGAGGAAAAUGAACAAUCAAGAUAGGAUUUGUCCCUCUCUAUGAGAGAGAUAUCUUCUAGGCCCCUCGAUGAGUGAGACUGAGAAAUGCAUGGCCGUGCUCAAAUGAAUUGAUAGUGUGAUCAAUAUCAUUUGAAUUUAUCAGUCUACUUAGAGAUCGAGAAAUCAUAAGUUUGAACAUUAUAAGUUUGACAUUGACCAUGACUUAUGUUCAAACUAGAUAUCGUGUGACAAAGGGAUUAAUACAUGUUCUAUUUAAUAGGCUUUAUCGGAC
RNAcentral lists this long non-coding RNA (389 nucleotides) under Manihot esculenta (cassava). Its description in RNAcentral is "long non-coding RNA (MESC_LNC001316)". The record is from RNAcentral. Lineage: Eukaryota; Viridiplantae; Streptophyta; Magnoliopsida; Malpighiales; Euphorbiaceae.